UUGCAAACUGAAGAUGGCGACCGGCGCACGGGUGAGUAACACGUAUCCAACCUGCCGAUAACUCGGGGAUAGCCUUUCGAAAGAAAGAUUAAUACCCGAUGGUAUAAUCAGACCGCAUGGUCUUGUUACUAAAGAAUUUCGGUUAUCGAUGGGGAUGCGUUCCAUUAGGCAGUUGGUGAGGUAACGGCUCACCAAACCUUCGAUGGAUAGGGGUUCUGAGAGGAAGGUCCCCCACAUUGGAACUGAGACACGGUCCAAACUCCUACGGGAGGCAGCAGUGAGGAAUAUUGGUCAAUGGACGGGAGUCUGAACCAGCCAAGUAGCGUGAAGGAUGACUGCCCUAUGGGUUGUAAACUUCUUUUAUAUGGGAAUAAAGUUUUCCACGUGUGGAAUUUUGUAUGUACCAUAUGAAUAAGGAUCGGCUAACUCCGUGCCAGCAGCAGCGGUAAUACGGAGGAUUCGAGCGUUAUCCGGAUUUAUUGGGUUUAAAGGGAGCGUAGGUGGACAGUUAAGUCAGUUGUGAAAGUUUGCGGCUCAACCGUAAAAUUGCAGUUGAUACUGGUUGUCUUGAGUACAGUAGAGGUGGGCGGAAUUCGUGGUGUAGCGGUGAAAUGCUUAGAUAUCACGAAGAACUCCGAUUGCGAAGGCAGCUCACUGGACUGCAACUGACACUGAUGCUCG
Molecule: ribosomal RNA, 681 nt
Filed under: uncultured Bacteroidales bacterium
Lineage: Bacteria; Pseudomonadati; Bacteroidota; Bacteroidia; Bacteroidales
Description: bacterial SSU rRNA
Rfam family: Bacterial small subunit ribosomal RNA
Source: RNAcentral